GACGAACGCUGGCGGCGUGCCUAAUACAUGCAAGUUGAGCGCUGAAGGUUGGUACUUGUACCAACUGGAUGAGCAGCGAACGGGUGAGUAACGCGUGGGGAAUCUGCCUUUGAGCGGGGGACAACAUUUGGAAACGAAUGCUAAUACCGCAUAAAAACUUUAAACACAAGUUUUAAGUUUGAAAGAUGCAAUUGCAUCACUCAAAGAUGAUCCCGCGUUGUAUUAGCUAGUUGGUGAGGUAAAGGCUCACCAAGGCGAUGAUACAUAGCCGACCUGAGAGGGUGAUCGGCCACAUUGGGACUGAGACACGGCCCAAACUCCUACGGGAGGCAGCAGUAGGGAAUCUUCGGCAAUGGACGAAAGUCUGACCGAGCAACGCCGCGUGAGUGAAGAAGGUUUUCGGAUCGUAAAACUCUGUUGGUAGAGAAGAACGUUGGUGAGAGUGGAAAGCUCAUCAAGUGACGGUAACUACCCAGAAAGGGACGGCUAACUACGUGCCAGCAGCCGCGGUAAUACGUAGGUCCCGAGCGUUGUCCGGAUUUAUUGGGCGUAAAGCGAGCGCAGGUGGUUUAUUAAGUCUGGUGUAAAAGGCAGUGGCUCAACCAUUGUAUGCAUUGGAAACUGGUAGACUUGAGUGCAGGAGAGGAGAGUGGAAUUCCAUGUGUAGCGGUGAAAUGCGUAGAUAUAUGGAGGAACACCGGUGGCGAAAGCGGCUCUCUGGCCUGUAACUGACACUGAGGCUCGAAAGCGUGGGGAGCAAACAGGAUUAGAUACCCUGGUAGUCCACGCCGUAAACGAUGAGUGCUAGAUGUAGGGAGCUAUAAGUUCUCUGUAUCGCAGCUAACGCAAUAAGCACUCC
This 859-nucleotide ribosomal RNA is filed under the name Lactococcus lactis subsp. lactis. Its description in RNAcentral is "bacterial SSU rRNA". It matches the Rfam family "Bacterial small subunit ribosomal RNA", at positions 28 to 870 of the family's 1533-position model. Lineage: Bacteria; Bacillati; Bacillota; Bacilli; Lactobacillales; Streptococcaceae. The record is from RNAcentral.